CCUACGGGAGGCAGCAGUGGGGAAUAUUGCACAAUGGGCGCAAGCCUGAUGCAGCCAUGCCGCGUGUAUGAAGAAGGCCUUCGGGUUGUAAAGUACUUUCAGCGAGGAGGAAGGCGAUAAGGUUAAUAACCUUGUCGAUUGACGUUACUCGCAGAAGAAGCACCGGCUAACUCCGUGCUAGCAGCCGCGGUAAU
Molecule: ribosomal RNA, 194 nt
Filed under: uncultured bacterium
Lineage: Bacteria
Description: partial 16S ribosomal RNA
Rfam family: Bacterial small subunit ribosomal RNA
Source: RNAcentral